RNAcentral lists this ribosomal RNA (497 nucleotides) under uncultured bacterium. Its description in RNAcentral is "partial 16S ribosomal RNA". It matches the Rfam family "Bacterial small subunit ribosomal RNA", at positions 28 to 507 of the family's 1533-position model. The record is from RNAcentral.
GAUGAACGCUGGCGGCGUGCCUAAUACAUGCAAGUCGAGCGAACAGACGAGGAGCUUGCUCCUCUGACGUUAGCGGCGGACGGGUGAGUAACACGUGGAUAACCUACCUAUACGACUGGGAUAACUUCGGGAAACCGGAGCUAAUACCGGAUAAUAUAUUGAACCGCAUGGUUCAAUAGUGAAAGACGGUAUUGCUGUCACUUAUAGAUGGAUCCGCGCCGCAUUAGCUAGUUGGUAAGGUAACGGCUUACCAAGGCAACGAUGCGUAGCCGACCUGAGAGGGUGAUCGGCCACACUAGAACGGAGACACGGUCCAGACUCCUACGGGAGGCAGCAGUAGGGAAUCUUCCGCAAUGGGCGAAAGCUUGACGGAGCAACGCCGCGUGAGUGAUGAAGGUCUUCGGAUCGUAAAACUCUGUUAUUAGGGAAGAACAAAUGUGUAAGUAACUAUGCACGUCUUGACGGUACCUAAUCAGAAAGCCACGGCUAACUACGUG